This 497-nucleotide ribosomal RNA is filed under the name uncultured bacterium. RNAcentral's name for it is "partial 16S ribosomal RNA". It matches the Rfam family "Bacterial small subunit ribosomal RNA", at positions 28 to 507 of the family's 1533-position model. The record is from RNAcentral.
GAUGAACGCUGGCGGCGUGCCUAAUACGUGCAAGUCGAGCGAACGGACGAGAAGCUUGCUUCUCUGAUGUUAGCGGCGGACGGGUGAGUAACACGUGGAUAACCUACCUAUAAGACUGGGAUAACUUCGGGAAACCGUAGCUAAUACCGGAUAAUAUUUUGAACCGCAUGGUUCAAAAGUGAAAGACGGUCUUGCUGUCACUUAUAGAUGGAUCCGCGCUGCAUUAGCUAGUUGGUAAGGUAACGGCUUACCAAGGCAUCGAUGCAUAGCCGACCUGAGAGGGUGAUCGGCCACACUGGAACUGAGACACGGUCCAGACUCCUACGGGAGGCAGCAGUAGGGAAUCUUCCGCAAUGGGCGAAAGCCUGACGGAGCAACGCCGCGUGAGUGAUGAAGGUCUUCGGAUCGUAAAACUCUGUUAUUAGGGAAGAACAUAUGUGUAAGUAACUGUGCACAUCUUGACGGUACCUAAUCAGAAAGCCACGGCUAACUACGUG